Molecule: long non-coding RNA, 301 nt
Organism: Monomorium pharaonis (pharaoh ant)
Lineage: Eukaryota; Metazoa; Arthropoda; Insecta; Hymenoptera; Formicidae
Exons: 3
Source: RefSeq, a predicted model, not a curated record
CGCAUCCACUGCGCAUCUCAUCUGCCAGUCACGUGAUACAUUUUACCGAAUGAAUAUCUGCGUGAACUACUGCUCGGAUUGUCUUCUCCAGUUAAAAGACUAGGAAAACUAGAAAUCACAAUGGAUACAAAUAAUAUUAUUCAUAGUGCAAUAGAAUUGAUCAAUGAUAGCUCAUCAGAUGAUUCUGAUUUAUGGACAGAUAGUUCUGAUGAAGAGCUACUAUUGUUAAAUGAUGUGGAACAUAGACAAGUACCGAAAGUUGAAAAUUUUUGCGGUAUAAUUUUUAGAAUGCACGAAAAAA